AAGUCGUAACAAGGUUUCCGUAGGUGAACCUGCGGAAGGAUCAUUAGUGAAUAUUAGGACGUUCAAUUUAACUUGAAGUCCGAACUCUCACUCUCUAACCCUGUGCAUUUGUUUUGGUUAGUAGGAUCUUAGUAUCUGAACGCCUCUUCAUUUUACAAACACAAAGUCUAUGAAUGUUUAAAUUUUAUAACAAAACAAAACUUUCAACAACGGAUCUCUUGGCUCUCGC
RNAcentral lists this unclassified non-coding RNA (229 nucleotides) under Rhodosporidiobolus nylandii. RNAcentral describes it as "partial internal transcribed spacer region". The stretch from base 1 to 46 matches the Rfam family "Eukaryotic small subunit ribosomal RNA", at positions 1786 to 1831 of the family's 1831-position model. The record is from RNAcentral. Lineage: Eukaryota; Fungi; Basidiomycota; Microbotryomycetes; Sporidiobolales; Sporidiobolaceae.